Molecule: long non-coding RNA, 832 nt
Organism: Vicia villosa (hairy vetch)
Lineage: Eukaryota; Viridiplantae; Streptophyta; Magnoliopsida; Fabales; Fabaceae
Exons: 3
Source: RefSeq, a predicted model, not a curated record
UUUUUAUUAUUCAUUAUAAAUACCUCUUUUAUUAUCUCUCUUUGAUCAUCUCAUCACACACGGGCCUCUCAUCACACACGAAAUUUUUUAAAAUCGGUGAUUAGUGUUGUUUUGUUGUUUGUUUAUAUUUCUUCUAUGAUAACUCUAACAUUUGAGAUUUUGAGUGGCAAGAUGUCAAAAUUACUAUCAAUGAUUACACCUAAUUGCACAAAUUCAUGAUCAAUUGGGAUAAAGUAUUUCUUUGGUAAGAGACAAAUUCAUGAUCAAUUGGGAUAAAGUAUUUCUUUGGUAAGAGUGAGGGUCUAAACCCGACAAAAAAAACAUUACACAACAAUAUGCCUCGGGGUAGCAUGUCCCCUAAGAUCAACCUCACACGACUCUCUAACGUGCGGAAGACAAUUCUCAAAAACUGUUAAAGAAGCAUUAAAAGUACGUCUCGACUGAGCUAACACAUUAGCACACCGAUUUACCUCCCGAUAACAAUACAGAAUAUUAACCUUCCAAUUCCUCUUCAUCAUAUCUCAAAUAUACCUAAUUAAAGGAAGUUAUUGAAGGUGGUGAUUCAAAUUUCAAAGAUGAAGUGGUUGUUGCUAAUACUUGCCAGACUCCAACUAGCAACUCACUUGGAGAGCGAAAGCUAUGAGUUUGGAAUCUUUAGAAACAAUUGAUCUCGAAGGUGACAAUGCAUCCAUCACUAAAGAGUCAAAAUUGCUAUGUUUGAAAAUAAAAGAAACAAAAUGAUUCACUCUCUUUUCGAUUUGAUGAUUGAUACUCUUUUUCAAUUUGAUUUGUUUUACGGCUUUUUUAUUUAUGUAAUAACAGUCAAAUAUUU